RNAcentral lists this ribosomal RNA (253 nucleotides) under uncultured bacterium. RNAcentral's name for it is "partial 16S ribosomal RNA". It matches the Rfam family "Bacterial small subunit ribosomal RNA", at positions 524 to 776 of the family's 1533-position model. The record is from RNAcentral.
UACGUAGGGUGCAAGCGUUGUCCGAGAUUAUUGGGCGUAAAGAGCUCGUAGGCGGUUUGUCGCGUCUGCUGUGAAAACCCGAGGCUCAACCUCGGGCCUGCAGUGGAUACGGGCAGACUAGAGUGCGGUAGGGGAGAUUGGAAUUCCUGGUGUAGCGGUGGAAUGCGCAGAUAUCAGGAGGAACACCAAUGGCGAAGGCAGAUCUCUGGGCCGUAACUGACGCUGAGGAGCGAAAGCAUGGGGAGCGAACAGG